Molecule: ribosomal RNA, 402 nt
Filed under: uncultured microorganism
Description: bacterial SSU rRNA
Rfam family: Bacterial small subunit ribosomal RNA
Source: RNAcentral
GAGUUUGAUCUUGGCUCAGAUUGAACGCUGGCGGCAUGCUUUACACAUGCAAGUCGAACGGCAGCGCGGGGCAACCUGGCGGCGAGUGGCGAACGGGUGAGUAAUAUAUCGGAACGUACCCAAGAGUGGGGGAUAACGUAGCGAAAGUUACGCUAAUACCGCAUACGAUCUAAGGAUGAAAGUGGGGGAUCGCAAGACCUCAUGCUCCUGGAGCGGCCGAUAUCUGAUUAGCUAGUUGGUGAGGUAAAGGCUCACCAAGGCGACGAUCAGUAGCUGGUCUGAGAGGACGACCAGCCACACUGGAACUGAGACACGGUCCAGACUCCUACGGGAGGCAGCAGUGGGAAUUUUGGACAAUGGGCGCAAGCCUGAUCCAGCAAUGCCGCGUGAGUGAAGAAGGCC